UCACCAUAAUACCCAGAUUUCACUCCCCAAAAUAUGAUUGCCAAAAUUGGAAUUGGUAUAAGUGGGGAGGUAUUCUUUACAAUUGUAUGAAGAAGUUGAGUACCGAAGUGCAAAUUGCCUUGAUAUAUAUCUUCUCCACCGCUUGGAGCUCCUAUGUAUCGAUUUUGUGCUCUCAUUUUGUAGAAAGAAACAAAGGGAAGAACAGAACAGCUUCAGGAGGAGAAACUAAGGGUCCAAAUCCACCAGAGUCCAAUUGAUUUAAGGUAACUAAUGUAUAGAAUUGAAUUUUAUGAGCUGAACUUGAUAGGAUUUGGUGAUCUUUUAUGAACCAAAUUUGAGUUGAUAACUUCUAGCCGGGAAAAUUGAAGUUGGACAGCUAUAAACCAAUUUUGUGGCUAUGAUUUCUUGCAUAUGUUGCUAUUAACUUGUAACCAAACAUCUGAUGUGGGUAGAUGUAUGAAACUGAAGAGAUUUUAGAUGGUAAUGGCCAAGAAACCUUGAGUUCUAACUAACCCCAAGGUUGACAGUCACCUUUGCGCAGCUUUAGUAAAUUGGCCAUAACUUGAGAUGGAAAACUCGAAAUUGGGUAACGUCAAUUGCAUUAGAAACUAGACUUAGAGAUCUUUCCAGCGGUAUAAAAAUCAAGCUCUGGUUCAUUGCCUACUAAACCAGAAAAUUUGCAAAUUUCAUUGGAAAUCAGAACCUGCGCAGUUAGAGACUGGAAAUUGCACUUGCUUGUGGCCCAACUUAGAACCGUCUAUUGAUUGAUUCGCUAAAUGAUCCCUUGUAGAUAUAUUUAGUAUUUCAAUUGUGGGUUCUAAUGCCUCCAAUUUUGUGGUGAUUUGACAUAUAUAUCCAGAGUUAUGCAUGUUUAAUUGACAACUGCAUUUGCUGAAAUUUCCACCCUGCACAACAUAAGAACUUGAAAGUGUACCAAAUUGUGACUGAAUUUAGAUAAGCUUAUGAUCUAAAUCUCUCAAUAGUUUCUUCUAAAGAUAGUUAGAGCCUUGUUUCUAGUUUAUAAGAGUGUGAAACUUAGAAUUUUCUGAAGUAUACAGCCCAUGUUACGCAUGUUUAAUUGAACUUUGUCCAUGCUGAAAAUGAUAGAGAGCAGUGUAGCUCUAUAGUCGACUUAAGUAUAAUGGCAUAACUCUUGAGACGAUAUACGUUCUUGAUUACUGCUAGGAGUUUCAACAGAUGGUUAUUAUUCUGAUUUUAUUGUUUUAGGGGAAGGAUAAAGAGAAUUUGUGUGACACUCUCUUGAUUAACGAGUAACUGGCUCUUUCAUAUCUCUAUAAUUUUUAAAAUGUCUUUAAAAAUUUUUUAUUUGUCACUUGUUAUAGAAAAUAUAUUUUGUUAUACUAAAUUGGAUUGAGCAUGUGUAAUUUUUUGACAACUAUGUGCAUAUGAAUAACUAUAUUACUUGUUUAAAAGUGAUUGUUAUGCAAUAUUUUGGAUAUCAUUGGACGUGCUUAAAUAAGUAAAUGACACGAAAAGGCUCUAAAAUUGUUAUAUUUGAAUACUGGUAGCCCUUUCACAGGAUAUAAUAGUGGACAAAUGACUCUAUUACGGGAAAAAAGAGUGACCGUAGUAAUUAUCUAGAACUAUAUUUUUAACCGGUAUGUGGCCCUACCACGGAAAAUAAUAGUGGUAUUUCAUAGUCUUGUCAUGAAAUAUAAUGGUGACCGUGGCAUAUUUUUGAGCUAAACGCAAAAUGAAAAGAUACAACAUUCCAUGGAUUAUAAUUAAAGAACUAUGAAUCUAUGCACAGUUAUGCAUUGUAUAUGCAAGAUGCAUGCACUGUUUUAAUUGUGAUUGAAUUCCAAGAAAUAAUUUUAUUAAAUGUUAUUUAUAAUAUUAAUAUACUCAAUCUAUUAAAGAUACAUUUGAGCUACUUAUUGAGUAAAUUGAUGAUCACCCCACCUAAUUUUUUCUGUCCUGCAGAUGAGGAUCAAAUGCAUGAUCGAUUGAAGACUAGUUUGAUCAUAGUAUGUUUCUAGCGUUGAAUUUUGCAAAAAUGUAGCUUGUAUGACUUUUGUACCCUAGUAAUGCAUGUAUGUCAAGAGUUUAAUGUGAAAAAUUGUACAAAUGACUUUUUAUGUUUGAAACUUUGGUAAACACAUUUAGGUGGCGUUUGGUUCGCACAUCGGAAUCGCAUUCGGAUUCGGAAUCGGAUAUCCUGGGUUUGGAAUGAGGUCAUUCAUUCCAAUAUAUUUGUUUGGUUCAAGUACCUGGAAUGUGUAUCAUUACUAUAGUUGAUGUUUGGUUCGUCGACUCUUUCGGAAUGGAAUAUAAUAAAUAUAUUAUAAACCACAUCGUAAAUGAUAAUUAUUGGCUCUUUGUAAAUGAG
RNAcentral lists this long non-coding RNA (2350 nucleotides) under Coffea arabica (coffee). Its description in RNAcentral is "long non-coding RNA (CARA_LNC001772)". Lineage: Eukaryota; Viridiplantae; Streptophyta; Magnoliopsida; Gentianales; Rubiaceae. The record is from RNAcentral.